Sander lucioperca (pikeperch) is the source of this 277-nucleotide long non-coding RNA. RefSeq lists it as uncharacterized. Lineage: Eukaryota; Metazoa; Chordata; Actinopteri; Perciformes; Percidae. The transcript has 2 exons. The record is from RefSeq and is a predicted model, not a curated record.
AUGGGAGAAAAUAGUUUUAGCUAUGUCGCGAACAUACAUACCACUGACUGGAUUAAGAGUUUUGUCGGUUUGCCAGAGCAUCUUCCUUUGAACUAAGAGUCACCACAGGGCACGUCGUCGGUCAUCUCACCUGGACGCUCGAAAACCGGCAGUGACGAGACCCAUUUGAUCAACCCCAGAUUUCGUCGUUUUACCGUGCUAACUGAUGCUGUGUUGGCACAGAUGUAACAACACAGCCCUCACCGACGUGAUCGAUACUUUCUAUUCCUCAGGAAGG